UAAAAAAUCAACGCCCUUCGGGGCUCCUUGGUGAAUCAUAAUAACUUAACGAAUCGCAUGGCCUUGCGCCGGCGAUGGUUCAUUCAAAUUUCUGCCCUAUCAACUUUCGAUGGUAGGAUAGUGGCCUACCAUGGUGGCAACGGGUAACGGGGAAUUAGGGUUCGAUUCCGGAGAGGGAGCCUGAGAAACGGCUACCACAUCCAAGGAAGGCAGCAGGCGCGCAAAUUACCCAAUCCCGAUACGGGGAGGUAGUGACAAUAAAUACUGAUACGGGGCUCUUUUGGGUCUCGUAAUUGGAAUGAGAACAAUUUAAAUCCCUUAACGAGGAACAAUUGGAGGGCAAGUCUGGUGCCAGCAGCCGCGGUAAUUCCAGCUCCAAUAGCGUAUAUUAAAGUUGUUGCAGUUAAAAAGCUCGUAGUUGAACCUUGGGUCUGGCUGGCCGGUCCGCCUCACCGCGAGUACUGGUCCGGCUGGACCUUUCCUUCUGGGGAACCUCAUGGCCUUCACUGGCUGUGGGGGGAACCAGGACUUUUACUGUGAAAAAAUUAGAGUGUUCAAAGCAGGCCUUUGCUCGAAUACAUUAGCAUGGAAUAAUAGAAUAGGACGUGUGGUUCUAUUUUGUUGGUUUCUAGGACCGCCGUAAUGAUUAAUAGGGAUAGUCGGGGGCGUCAGUAUUCAGCUGUCAGAGGUGAAAUUCUUGGAUUUACUGA
RNAcentral lists this ribosomal RNA (710 nucleotides) under Penicillium commune. RNAcentral describes it as "SSU rRNA". It matches the Rfam family "Eukaryotic small subunit ribosomal RNA", at positions 215 to 932 of the family's 1831-position model. Lineage: Eukaryota; Fungi; Ascomycota; Eurotiomycetes; Eurotiales; Aspergillaceae. The record is from RNAcentral.